AAAUGAAGGAAAAAUUAGACUGUGUUUUAUGCAACAUGUAAGAAGUUUCAUAUCAAACUAGAGUUCCACAACCCCAUACAUGUACCCUUGCCUAAUAAUCUUAACCUUUACAACAGGUGUAUUAUGUGCAUUAUCAUUAAUCAUACAAAUAAGUACUCAUUUGCAUAAAACAUAUUAGUUGAUCAUCUCUUCAACCCAAAUACACAAUAUAUAAGAAAGACGGCUCUAAAACUUAGUAAAGGCAUUUACUGAUAUUUGUGCAAAUAAGGUCCUCAUUUGCAUAAUCAAUGUUUAAUGAUGUUCACCUAAACAUAACUAACAAAUGCUACAAGUAAGAAUUUAUCAAAACAAGAAGUUCCCCAGAAGUACCUGGAGUUAUCUUGUUCACAGACAAUAUUUCAUGGCAGUCAGGGUUAGACAAGUUUUUUAAAAUCCACUUGUCCUUUCGGACAAGUACAUAAAAAAUUUACUUGCCCGGAUCAACUUUUCACUUGCCCAAAAUGUAAGAACAUUUUUCUAUGUAUUUAAUCACUUCCAUGAAUGAAAUUCUUUUGUCAUUGCCUCAAUUUUCCUGUGUUGGCCAAUGCUUCAUGCCAUGACUGUAAAAGGUAACAAGUAUAAAACGUUAAGUGCUCUGGAUGACAAAAUGUUAAUAAUGACUUUUACUCAUCAGACGUCUUGCUUAUGAUCCAUAUUGGCACACAAACAGAAGCAGUGUGUACUGCCUACAGCUGUUUCACGUCUACUGUAUCCAGCGUGCUAGCUAGGAUUUUAUUUUAGCUUAGUGGUAUUGCGGCGAAGGGAACGGAGUGACUAAGGGGGGUGGUGCAGAGUUUUUGAUAAAGCAGCAUGGAAGCACAGUGUGAAGACUAUUCCGACUGCUGCCUACCCGUGACAGGGAUCCCAGCAGCAGUAUAAUCAAAAAUGGAUACGACGAGGCCAUUUUAAAGGACCAAUGAAGGAAAAUGCUUUUUGUUUGUUUGUUUGAACCUUUGUUGAUUCAUGAAAGCUCAAAUAGGCCUGCAAUUCACUGUUAUUUUUACACUAUGUAUUCUUGAUGGGUAAUUCUUACUAAUAGGUGAUCAUUAGAACUUUUGCAUCUUGGCACUGAGUUACCCUUACAAAGGACCUUGUCACAAAAUAAGUUAAUCGACACACAGAAAC
Branchiostoma floridae (Florida lancelet) is the source of this 1164-nucleotide long non-coding RNA. RefSeq lists it as uncharacterized. The transcript has 2 exons. NCBI's taxonomy places the organism in Eukaryota, Metazoa, Chordata, Leptocardii, Amphioxiformes, Branchiostomatidae. The record is from RefSeq and is a predicted model, not a curated record.